RNAcentral lists this ribosomal RNA (468 nucleotides) under uncultured bacterium. RNAcentral describes it as "partial 16S ribosomal RNA". It matches the Rfam family "Bacterial small subunit ribosomal RNA", at positions 28 to 507 of the family's 1533-position model. The record is from RNAcentral.
GACGAACGCUGGCGGCGGGCUUAACACAUGCAAGUCGAACGGGACGGCCCUGCUUUUGUGGGGUGCUCGGGGGGCGAACGGGUGAGUAACCCGUGUCUACCCUGCCCCUGCCUUAGGGAUAACUUCAGGAAACUUGGGCUAAUACCGGAUAGGAGCUCCCGCUGCAUGGUGGGGGUUGGAUAGUUUCGGUGGUUGGGGAUGGACUCGCGGCGUAUCAGCUUGUUGGGUGGGUAGUGGCUUACCAAGGCUAUGCCGGGUAGCCUGCCUGAGCGGGUGACCGGCCACACUGGGACGGAGAUACGGCCCGGACUCGAACGGGAGGCAGGGGAGGAGUAGAGUGCACUAGGGACGGGAGGCUACCGUGGCAACGCCGCGUGGCGGAUGAGGGCAAGGGGGUAGGAAUGCGAAGUCGCCUGUGACGAGGAGUGAGUGACGGUAAUAGCAGAAGAAGCACCGGCUAACUACGUG